This is a long non-coding RNA of Salvia miltiorrhiza (redroot sage), 785 nucleotides long. RefSeq lists it as uncharacterized. NCBI's taxonomy places the organism in Eukaryota, Viridiplantae, Streptophyta, Magnoliopsida, Lamiales, Lamiaceae. The transcript has 4 exons. The record is from RefSeq and is a predicted model, not a curated record.
ACAAAAGCAAAAGCUCUUCAAUCAAUUAAAGUUUAGAUAAAGUUAUUAUUUCCAUCUUUUGCUAACGAUGUACACGUCUUUGCUCUCCACUCAAUUAUUCAUUCAAUAAGCACCAACGUUCCAAGAGAGAAAGUAUUGCAAAGUUAGUGGAAAGAAAAGAAAAAGUGGCUGUCCAUCAAAAUUUUGCUCCCCACCUCUCCACUCCACCAACUUCUCCACCACACUCAAGUAUAGCCACUAAUUCACCUCCAUUCUACACUAACUCCACGAGAAGAGCAGGAGAACUUCACUCAUCUUCUGCAAGCAUUCAAGAAAAUCCUCAUCUGUCCAUCGUUCCAUCAAAGGCAAGAAAGCAAACUUGAAAAUCAACCAAAGAUAAAAACCCAGCAAGUGUAGAUCUUUCUAAAGUAGAUACAUGAAUAUGCUAGACACAUAUGUAAGCACACAAUCCAUCAUCUGCAUUCAUUUAACACCACAGCAGCCAACCAACAUCAAUUACAAGGUCAAGCGCGAGAGUAAGAACUACACAAGGAGUUAGAGUACCUUAGCAAAACUUUGCUAUCAGGUUGAGCUGUGAUGGGCGAUGAAGUGUUGUUGCUGAGUGGAGUUUUUGUCGAACUUAAAGUAGGCUCAGAAAGGAUACAUGUCUUCAUACAUGUAUCUCAGUUAUGCAUUCCGCUGUAAACACUGAUUAUUUAAGUUACACCUUCCGUUGCAAACUCUGAUAAUGUUUUAGCCAAGCCCUAACGAUGCCUUUUUUUUUCUUUUUAAGGAAAAUUUCACGC